UCGAACGCUUCUUUUCUACCGAGUGCUUGCACUCACUUUGAAAGAGGAGUGGCGGUACGGGUGAGUAACACGUGGGUAACCUGCCCAUCAGAAGGGGAUAACGACUUGGAAACAGGUGCUAAUACCGUAUAACAGUCGACACCGCAUGGUGUUGAUUUGAAAGACGCUUUCGGGUGUCACUGAUGGAUGGACCCGCGGUGCAUUAGCUAGUUGGUGAGGUAACGGCUCACCAAGGCGAUGAUGCAUAGCCGACCUGAGAGGGUGAUCGGCCACACUGGGACUGAGACACGGCCCAGACUCCUACGGGAGGCAGCAGUAGGGAAUCUUCGGCAAUGGACGAAAGUCUGACCGAGCAACGCCGCGUGAGUGAAGAAGGUUUUCGGAUCGUAAAACUCUGUUGUUAGAGAAGAACAAGUAGGAGAGUAACUGCUCUUACCUUGACGGUAUCUAACCAGAAAGCCACGGCUAACUACGUGCCAGCAGCCGCGGUAAUACGUAGGUGGCAAGCGUUGUCCGGAUUUAUUGGGCGUAAAGCGAGCGCAGGCGGUUUCUUAAGUCUGAUGUGAAAGCC
This 571-nucleotide ribosomal RNA is filed under the name uncultured bacterium. RNAcentral's name for it is "bacterial SSU rRNA". It matches the Rfam family "Bacterial small subunit ribosomal RNA", at positions 62 to 602 of the family's 1533-position model. The record is from RNAcentral.